RNAcentral lists this ribosomal RNA (424 nucleotides) under uncultured bacterium. RNAcentral describes it as "bacterial SSU rRNA". It matches the Rfam family "Bacterial small subunit ribosomal RNA", at positions 359 to 776 of the family's 1533-position model. The record is from RNAcentral.
GAAUCUUGCGCAAUGGGCGAAAGCCUGACGCAGCGACGCCGCGUGCGGGAAGAAGGCCUUCGGGUUGUAAACCGCUUUCAGGGGGGACGAAGCCACUCGGGUGAACAGCCCAGAGGGUGACGGUACCCCCAGAAGCAGCCCCGGCUCACUACGUGCCCGCAGCCGCGGUAAUACGUAGGGGGCAAGCGUUGUCCGGAUUUAUUGGGCGUAAAGAGCGUGUAGGCGGCCUGGAAGGUCGGUUGUGAAAACUGGAGGCUCAACCGUCAGACGUCGACCGAAACCCCCUGGCUAGAGUCCGGAAGAGGAGAGUGGAAGUCCUGGUGUAGCGGUGAAAUGCGCAGAUAUCAGGAAGAACACCCGUGGCGAAGGCGGCUCUCUGGGACGGUACUGACGCUGAGACGCGAAAGCGUGGGGAGCGAACAGG